AAUACCAUGCAAGUCGAGCGAAUCGGAUGGGAGCUUGCUCCCUGAGAUUAGCGGCGGACCGGGUGAGUAACACGUGGGCAACCUGCCUAUAAGACUGGGAUAACUUCGGGAAACCGGAGCUAAUACCGGAUACGUUCUUUUCUCGCAUGAGAGAAGAUGGAAAGACGGUUUACGCUGUCACUUAUAGAUGGGCCCGCGGCGCAUUAGCUAGUUGGUGAGGUAAUGGCUCACCAAGGCGACGAUGCGUAGCCGACCUGAGAGGGUGAUCGGCCACACUGGGACUGAGACACGGCCCAGACUCCUACGGGAGGCAGCAGUAGGGAAUCUUCCGCAAUGGACGAAAGUCUGACGGAGCAACGCCGCGUGAACGAAGAAGGCCUUCGGGUCGUAAAGUUCUGUUGUUAGGGAAGAACAAGUACCAGAGUAACUGCUGGUACCUUGACGGUACCUAACCAGAAAGCCACGGCUAACUACGUGCCAGCAGCCGCGGUAAUACGUAGGUGGCAAGCGUUGUCCGGAAUUAUUGGGCGUAAAGCGCGCGCAGGUGGUUCCUUAAGUCUGAUGUGAAAGCCCACGGCGCCCUUUCUACGCAUUUCACCGCUA
Molecule: ribosomal RNA, 603 nt
Filed under: uncultured Bacillus sp.
Lineage: Bacteria; Bacillati; Bacillota; Bacilli; Caryophanales; Bacillaceae
Description: bacterial SSU rRNA
Rfam family: Bacterial small subunit ribosomal RNA
Source: RNAcentral